CCUGGCUCAGAUUGAACGCUGGCGGCAUGCCUUACACAUGCAAGUCGAACGGCAGCACGGGAGCAAUCCUGGUGGCGAGUGGCGAACGGGUGAGUAAUAUAUCGGAACGUGCCCGGUCGUGGGGGAUAACGUAGCGAAAGCUACGCUAAUACCGCAUACGAUCUACGGAUGAAANCGGGGGAUCGCAAGACCUCGCGCGAUUGGAGCGGCCGAUAUCAGAUUAGGUAGUUGGUGGGGUAAAGGCUCACCAAGCCAACGAUCUGUAGCUGGUCUGAGAGGACGACCAGCCACACUGGAACUGAGACACGGUCCAGACUCCUACGGGAGGCAGCAGUGGGGAAUUUUGGACAAUGGACGCAAGUCUGAUCCAGCCAUUCCGCGUGCAGGAUGAAGGCCCUCGGGUUGUAAACUGCUUUGUACGGAACGAAAAGGUUUCUAUUAAUACUAGGAGCUCAUGACGGUACCGUAAGAAUAAGCACCGGCUAACUACGUG
Molecule: ribosomal RNA, 493 nt
Filed under: uncultured bacterium
Lineage: Bacteria
Description: bacterial SSU rRNA
Rfam family: Bacterial small subunit ribosomal RNA
Source: RNAcentral